CAAGAACUAGUUUAAUAAAAACAGCUGUUUUGGGGACAGCCGAUACAGAGCUUCUUUUGUGUUCUUGA
Molecule: transfer RNA, 68 nt
Filed under: Actinopyga echinites
Lineage: Eukaryota; Metazoa; Echinodermata; Holothuroidea; Aspidochirotida; Holothuriidae
Description: tRNA-Pro
Source: RNAcentral